This 595-nucleotide ribosomal RNA is filed under the name uncultured bacterium. Its description in RNAcentral is "bacterial SSU rRNA". It matches the Rfam family "Bacterial small subunit ribosomal RNA", at positions 338 to 1331 of the family's 1533-position model. The record is from RNAcentral.
CCUACGGGAGGCAGCAGUUAGGAAUUUUGGGCAAUGGGCGAAAGCCUGACCCAGCAACGCCGCGUGGGUGACGAAGGCCUUCGGGUUGUAAAGCCCUUUUCUGAGGGAAGAUGAUGACGGUACCUCAGGAAUAAGCACCGGCUAACUACGUGCCAGCAGCCGCGGUAAUACGUAGGGUGCAAGCGUUGCCCGGAUUUAUUGGGCGUAAAGGGCGCGCAGGCGGCUACGCACGUCCGUUGUGAAAUCGCUCGGCUCAACUGGGCGGGGUCAGCGGAUACGGCGUAGCUGGAGCAAGCUAGGGGGCAAUGGAAUUCCCGGUGUAGUGGUGGAAUGCGUAGAUAUCGGGAGGAACACCAGUGGCGAAGGCGGUUGCCUGGAGCUUUGCUGACGCUGAGGCGCGAAAGCGUGGGGAGCGAUCCGGAUUAGAUACCCGGGUAGUCCACGCCGUAAACGAUGUCGACUAGGUNUCGGGGGUAUCGACCCCUCGGCGCCGCAGCUAACGCAUUAAGUCGACCGCCUGGGGACUACGGCCGCAAGGGCUAAAACUCAAAGAGUAGUACGGCGUGAGAGAGCGACGACGACGACGACGGAGGAG